CCAGGAUUUUGCCGGCGUGCUUAAACAUGCAAGUCGAACGAACCUUCGGGUUAGUGGCGGACGGGUGAGUAACGCGUGAGAAUCUGCCCUCAGGAGGGGGACAACAGCUGGAAACGGCUGCUAAUACCCCAUAUGCCGAGAGGUGAAACGAAUUUCGCCUGAGGAUGAGCUCGCGUCUGAUUAGCUAGUUGGUGUGGUAAUGGCGCACCAAGGCAUCGAUCAGUAGCUGGUCUGAGAGGAUGAUCAGCCACACUGGGACUGAGACACGGCCCAGACUCCUACGGGAGGCAGCAGUGGGGAAUUUUCCGCAAUGGGCGAAAGCCUGACGGAGCAACGCCGCGUGAGGGAUGAAGGCCUCUGGGCUGUAAACCUCUUUUCUCAAGGAAGAAGAUCUGACGGUACUUGAGGAAUAAGCCACGGCUAAUUCCGUGCCAGCAGCCGCGGUAAUACGGGAGUGGCAAGCGUUAUCCGGAAUUAUUGGGCGUAAAGCGUCCGCAGGCGGUCCAGAAAGUCUGCUGUUAAAAAGUGGAGCUUAACUCCAUCAUGGCAGUGGAAACUACUGGACUAGAGUGUGGUAGGGGCAGAGGGAAUUCCCGGUGUAGCGGUGAGAUGCGUAGAUAUCGGGAAGAACACCAGUGGCGAAGGCGCUCUGCUGGGCCAUAACUGACGCUCAUGGACGAAAGCCAGGGGAGCGAAAGGGAUUAGAUACCCCUGUAGUCCUGGCCGUAAACGAUGAACACUAGGUGUCGGGGGAAUCGACCCCCUCGGUGUCGUAGCCAACGCGUUAAGUGUUCCGCCUGGGGAGUACGCACGCAAGUGUGAAACUCAAAGGAAUUGACGGGGGCCCGCACAAGCGGUGGAGUAUGUGGUUUAAUUCGAUGCAACGCGAAGAACCUUACCAGGGUUUGACAUCCUGCGAAUCUCCUGGAAACGGGAGAGUGCCUUCGGGAACGCAAGUGACAGGUGGUGCAUGGCUGUCGUCAGCUCGUGUCGUGAGAUGUUGGGUUUAGUCCCGCAACGAGCGCAACCCACGUCUUUAGGUUGCCAGCAUUCAGUUGGGCACCUCUUAGAGAAGACCGCUCGUGAUUAAACCGGGAGGAAAGUGGUGAAUGAACGUCAAGUUCAUUCAUGCCCCUUUACAUCCCUGGGGCUACACACACACGU
This 1164-nucleotide ribosomal RNA is filed under the name uncultured bacterium. RNAcentral describes it as "bacterial SSU rRNA". It matches the Rfam family "Bacterial small subunit ribosomal RNA", at positions 24 to 1227 of the family's 1533-position model. The record is from RNAcentral.